GAUCAUGGCUCAGGAUGAACGCUAGCUACAGGCUUAACACAUGCAAGUCGAGGGGAAACGACAUUGAAGCCUGCUUCGAUGGGCGUCGACCGGCGCACGGGUGAGUAACGCGUAUCCAACCUGCCUCUGACUAAGGGAUAACCCGGCGAAAGUCGGACUAAUACCUUAUGAGGUUUUCAGCAGACAUCUAACGAAAACGAAAGAUUUAUCGGUCAGUGAUGGGGAUGCGUCUGAUUAG
RNAcentral lists this ribosomal RNA (238 nucleotides) under uncultured bacterium. RNAcentral's name for it is "partial 16S ribosomal RNA". It matches the Rfam family "Bacterial small subunit ribosomal RNA", at positions 15 to 244 of the family's 1533-position model. The record is from RNAcentral.